This 253-nucleotide ribosomal RNA is filed under the name uncultured bacterium. RNAcentral's name for it is "partial 16S ribosomal RNA". It matches the Rfam family "Bacterial small subunit ribosomal RNA", at positions 524 to 776 of the family's 1533-position model. The record is from RNAcentral.
UACGUAGGGGGCUAGCGUUGUCUGGAAUCAUUGGGCGUAAAGAGCGUGUAGGCGGUCCGGUAAGUCCGCUGUGAAAGUCGGGGGCUCAACCCUCGAAUGCCGGUGGAUACUGUCGGGCUAGAGUGCGGAAGAGGCGAGUGGAAUUCCCGGUGUAGCGGUGAAAUGCGCAGAUAUCGGGAGGAACACCAAUGGCGAAGGCAGCUCGCUGGGACGGUACUGACGCUGAGGCGCGAAAGCGUGGGGAGCAAACAGG